Molecule: long non-coding RNA, 15262 nt
Organism: Heterocephalus glaber (naked mole-rat)
Lineage: Eukaryota; Metazoa; Chordata; Mammalia; Rodentia; Bathyergidae
Source: Ensembl
AAAGAACUCAGGACGCGUGCGCGUCAGGUGUGACGCAUGCGCAGCGCACCCCAGACCCCGGCCGGCCGCUGUCCAACCAUCCCCCUUAGUACGAAUAGGUUGGAGCACUGAGACUUCCGGUUCCGCAAGGCUCACCUUUCAGGUGAGGUUUAUCUCGGCUCAAGAUCACUGAGAGGGAGACCGUCUCAAAGAGUAAUUGUAUCCUGCGUAGCACAAAAGUCACCGUGUUCUGGGAGGAGGGAGGCGCCGCUCCUUCCUCCAGGUCCCCAGUCUGUCUUAUAGAAUCCUCAGCCAUGAGCCUGAUGAUGGAUGUGAAAUCUCUUUUGAUAGUCACAUACAAAAACAUCCAGCCUCAUCUCAAGAUAUCCUAAUUCUCAUUAUGUUAUCACACUCUGAUUUCAGAAUCUCAUGUUCUACAUCAGGUAAAAAUAUGGCCGAUCCUCUUGAUCUGGAAAUCUAUAAAGUAAAAGAAUUAUCUAUCUCUCACAUACUUGAUAUUCAGUAGUGAAAUGUGGACAGGAAAAUCACAUUAAAAAAGAAAAUAGUGGGGCAUGGUGGCACACACCUGUAAUCCCAGCACUUGGGAGGCCAAGGCAGGAGAAUCACUGUUAGUUUGAGACCAGCCUGAACUACACCCAUCUUAAGGUCUUAAGGCGAAAGGGGAUCACAAAAGAAUUCUGAUAUUCAGACACAUGUUACUAGAUGUCCCUACUCCUGCAAAUGGCAGUAUACCUUAAUUGGGGUCCAGCUUGGCUCUCUGGGGGAAGCUCCCUAAACCAUCAUAGUCUGUGACUUUUAGUUCUGCAUUCUGGGAAGUGUGGUUUGAGACACUGUUCAUUCUCCACCCUCUUUCUGUCAUCCUCUGAUACACUGGAAGAAGGAGUGCAUGUUGGUAGCAUCUACAGUGGUGCCUCUGUUCAUGAACUAAAUUCUCAGGAUUCUGAUUGCAAAUGAAUUGGUCAUGAGCUGAGUCAGAUACAAUGCUUAGGUUCAAUGUUGACCUUAUGGGAAAUUUGACUUGGUUCACAACCAAUUUGUUUUGCAACCAGAAUAGUUGUAAGAAUUAAGUUCAUGAACCAAUGUACCACUGUGCCUUUCUUAACUUGCUUUCUGGCACUACAAAGUUAGGGAUCCAAAGGUCAUUUUGCACAUUUGAAUACUAUUAGUCCUUUGUAAGCAUUUCAACAGCUUUUACCUAUAAAAUUUACUUUAAAACAAUGUUCCUAUGUAUUUGAUUAUAGUCUGUGCCAUCCUCCAAAAGAUAUAAUUAUCUUUAAGACCUGCCCCUCUAUGCAUAUAGACUUACUUUUACUUGGGGAGACUAUGACCUUACAAUUUCUAAAACCCCUUUGUUCUAGGUAGUUUGGUCUAAUAGAUAUUAUCUUAAUUGUUUCACAGACCUUUAUAAAGGAUCUUACAUUUACACCCUUGAUCUUAUCUAUACCACCAAGCUGUGUUUACUUGGAGAGUCUGUAGAUUAGAAAGUUUUAUUUUCCAGCCUAGAAAGUAUUGAAUCUUCUACAUGCCCUGUAGAUUCUGUUGGAAAACUAGCCAUUUUCCACUUUAUCUCACAUUUUUCUGUAUUUUGUCAUACACAGCUGGGAACUAUCAGUCAAUACUUUCAGUAUCCCUACUGUAGAACUCCUUAGUGGAAUACAAACAUUUAUUAAAUCUCCUGUAAAGAUGGAGUACAUAUAAUUUCCCUUUUUUUUUUUAAAACCACUAAGUCAAACUAAACCAUAACAAUUAUUUGUAAUACAAACAUAAGACUAAAAUGUGGCAAGAAGAAAGACCAGCUAGGGACUUCAAUAUGCACGGGACUAUAUGAAUACCUUAGCCUAGGUUAUCUUUUUGUCUCAUAACAGGAUUGCAGCCAAAGAAACUAGUAACUCAGAAGUGCCAAUAGGCACAGAAAAUAAAAGCCUCAAUAAAACAUGCUAUCUUUAGACAAAGGAUCUGGAAAGGGAGAAUAUUCAUAAAUCAGAAGAUUUAGAAAAUAACUGUUCUAUGUUAGCCAGAUAUCACAGAAAAAACAACCAAAAAAAAAAAAAAAAAAGUGGUCCCACCCAUACCAGCAAGUGCAAAGUGAGAAAUCUCAACUUCCACUUUCAUGAGGCUCUCCAUCACCAGUAACAACCCUUCCUCACUGUAGUGGUGAGUGGCUACUAUAUGGGGAGGCACUCUUGUAUUCCGCUGAGAACUGGUGAAGAUUCAAGACUCACCAUUCUCCGGCAGUCAAGAAGCCACUCCCACUGCAGUGUCAUUAGAGAGCAGUUAAGAAGCCAGCACUACCUCCACCCAGAGGUAACAAGAAGCACUUCACUCCCAUCCAAAGCCAAAAGAGACCAAAUGGAGAACUUGAACUUUCUGUCUCACUCUGUUAGUAACAAGGUGGCAAAUCCCUGCUGGAAUGGUGUGAGAGAAAGUGUUGAAGAUCUAGACUCUCAUAAUAUGAAAAAAUGCCAGGUUUUAUUUGAAAACCACUCAAACCAAGAACCAGGUAAAUCUCAUAAAUGAAAAAGGCAAUAGAUACUCAAGUUAUCUGACAAAGAUUUUAAAGCAGCAGUGAUAAAAGUGCUUCAUCAAGCAAUAAUAAGCAUAUGUUUAAACAAAUUUUAAAAGCCUAAACAAGAGACAAGGUGUAACAUCUUAAAUUUCAAAACAAAACAAGAAAAAUCAUGGUUAGCUCAAAAGUAGGAAACAUAAAAUAAGCACUGAAACUUAAUAUAGAGCAGUUAUUAAAUCUGAACAAUAGAGAAAAAAUACACUGAAAAAAAUCAACAAGAGCCUUACAGGUUCUAACAAAAGAUAUUUGUCUCAUUUCGAUUUGGUGAAAGGGAUUAAAAAUGGCAGAGUUGGGGCCGGGGAUUUAGUGCAGUGGUUUCGCCGCCUGCUGCGCAAGUGCAAGGACCCGAGUUUGAUCACUGGUACCAAAAAAAAAAAAAGGCAGAGUAAUGACCAAUAGCAAAAAACAGCCUCUCUGGGACCUGGAAUUAAGAUGCUUGGAACUGGAAUUAAGACGCUUGGAAAAGAACAAGUUGGUGAAGAAAAAAGUAGAUCUCAAAAUUGAGAGGAAGCUGACAGGAAAACUAGAAACUACAGAGAAGUUGGAGGAAUGAACCACAAUGCAGAGGCAAGAACAAAGCCUCUGGAAAACUAAUUCCAGCUCUCCGGGAAGAGGUCCUGUCUGAUUCCACAAGGUAAGCCUAGAGAGGAUCAACACCCCUGGGGAAAAACAACAGACCAGGCUGGCAACAUUGCCAUGAAAAAAAUCCAUGGUUAUUGUAAGCAGAUGGAGUUUUAAUAAGAAACUGACUCCUGCCAUAUGGCAGACUAGAGUUGGAGAAUCCCAGUGCAAUGGCCACCGUAUUGAGAGGGUUUAAUUACAGUAGGAACCAUUUUGGGAAGGGGUUAAUUGUUUUAAGACUGAGCUACACAACAACUAUACUUUUCCAUUUCUGGGGUCUCCUUACCACAGUGACUGGGUAGGAGACAGCCACAAGAGAUAGUUGUCAUUGGCUGAGAGGUCAUGGGCUAGACAUAGACCCCCUGAGAAUUUUAAACUCAGGCCACUGAGUGGUCCUACUCUCCAAGUUGAGACACCAGGCCAGUUGUGAGUGGCUUUUGAAGCGUCCUGAGCCUGAAAGUGCUCUCAUUAACCCCAGCAGAUUGCUUGUGAACCCCACCCCACUCUGUUGCCUACAUCCAAUAUGAAGCUUGGUGAUCUGUUUGCUUUCCCCAUCUACCAACAUAAUUGGGUAUACCUCAGCUUGGAUGGUUGCCACAAAUUGGAAUAUACAGACAGAGGGGUCUCUGGGUUAGGGUAAGGGUCAGAACAAUCAAGCAAGAAAAAUAAAUAAAAGGGAUAUGCAUAGGAAAGGAGGAAGUUAAAUUCUCCUUAUUACAGAUGACAUGAUCUCUUUAAUAGACUCCAAAAUUUCAACCAAAGAAUCCUAGAACUAAUAAACCAAAUCAGCAAGGUAGCAGAAAAUAAGAUCAACAUACAAAAAUCAAUAGCAUUCCAGUACACCAAUAAUUAAGGUACUGAGUAUCAGAGACCCCUGCAGUGGGUCCCAAUCUCCUGCUCAGUGCUACGGUGCAAGUUGAGAAGAAAGACAUAGAGACAGAAUUAAAGAGACAGAUUUGGGGAGCCAGGAUGGCCAAUGCUGAGCAAGCAGCAAAAGACCCUGCCCAGACAAAGCUGCUGAUAUUUAUUGGUGACACAUAGUUAAGUUGAGGUAAAGGGGCUACAAAAUUCAAAAUGGUCAUUCUUCCAAAUUUGAUAUAUAGAUUUAAUGCAAUCUCAAUAAAAAAUACCAACAGGAGGGCUGGGGAUUUAGCUCAGUGGUUCCAGCGCCUGCCUCAAAAGCCCAAGAUCCUGAGUUUGAUCCCCGAUACAAAAAAAAAAAAAAAAUACCAACAGCAUUCCUCACAGUAAUAGAGAAAACAAUCUUAAAAUUUAUAUGGAACCAAAAGAGACCCAGAAUAGCAAUAGCAAUCCUGGGCAAAAAGAGCAAAGCAGGAAGCAUCACAGUUCCACUUUUCGAGUUAUAUUACAAAGCUACAGAGUUAAAAACUUCAUGGUGCUGACAUGAAAAGCACAUGUGUAGACCAAUGGAACAGAAUAAAGGAUGCAGAAACAAAUACAUAUUCAUAUUCAGCCAUCUGACCUUUGACAAAGGGGCCAAAAACAUAUACUGGAGAAUAGAUACCCUUCACAAAUCAUCCUGGGAAAACUGGCUCUAUAUAUGCAGAAGAGUGAUUCUAGACCCAUAUCUCUCACCAAGUAGUAAAGUAAAAUCAAAAUGGAUCAAAGAUCUAAAUAUUAGAAUAGAAAAACUUAAUCUUCCAAAAGAUAAAAUGGGUAAAAGUCUUGAAAAUGUAGGCAUGGGCGAAGACUUCCUGAACACAACCCCAAAUGCACAAGAAAUUCCAUAAGAAUGAACAAGUGAGCUUAUAUCAAAUCAAAAAGCUUCUACAUACCAAAGGGAAUAGAGUGAAGAGACAACCUACAGAAUGGGAAAAGUUUUUUUCAGCUCCUCAUAGGACAAUCUAGAAUAUCUAAAAUGUACACAACUCAAAAAAACUCCAAAAAUAAAAGACCCAGUCAAAAAAUGCACAAUUGAAAUGAGUACUUCAUUUGUACUUCUCAGAAGAAGUACAAAUGGCCAAUAAAUACAUAAAUAGAUGUCAACGUCUUGGGCCAGUAGAGAAAUGCAAAUUAAGACAACACUGAGAUUCCAUCUUACUCCAGAAAAAAUAACUAUCAUCAAGAAAUAAAAUAAUAAAUGCUGGAGAGGCUGCAGUGAAAAAGGAGCCCUUUUACAUUAUUGAUGAGAAUGUAAACUAAUACAAUCACUAUGGAAACAGUAUGGCUUUUCCUCAAAAAACUAAAAAUAGAAAUUACAUUUGAACUAGCUAUUUCUUUUCUAGAUAUCUUCUCCAAAAAGUUAAAGACAUCAUAUUAUAAUGCUCUAUGCAUACAUGUGUUUAUAGUAACACAGUUCAUACUAGCUUAAUCUUGGAAGCAGCCUAUAUGUCCACUUACAGAUGAAUGGUUAAAUAAAAUGUGGUAUAUAUACACAAUGUAGUACUACUCUGUUAUAAAGAAGGAUAAAUUGGAACCAUUUGUAGGGAAAUGGAUGCACCUUGAGACCAUAAUGUUGACUGAAAUAAAUCAGAUACAAGCUUAAAUAUUGCAUGGUUUCUCUUACGUGUGAAACCCAAAGUACAAACAAAUUAAAGGACAAAAUAAAAAAUAGGUGAUAGGAAACAGGGAGAUCUUCUGCCAAAGGGAAUGGGACCAAGGAAUAGAGUGAGGGAGAAAGGAGUAAGGAAGGAAAGUAAAAAGAUUUUAGUUGUGUUAUGCACAUGUCCCAACUCCCUAUGAUGGAUGCAAUCGUGUUCUGCAAAUGUAUACUAAUAAAAAUAAAAAUUUAAAAAAGUAAAGUUUUGGAGAAGAGGAGAAGACAGGGCUGAAAAAGUACUUAAAAAAACAAUGGCUGGGUUGGGGAUUUAGCUCCGUGGUUCUGCCGCCUGCCUUGCAAGCACAAGGUCCGGAGUUCAAUCCCCGGUGCCAAAAGAAAAAAGAAAAAAGAAAAGAGUAUCUAAAAAACAAUGGCUGAAAACUUCUCAAAUUUAAUGAAAGAAAAUAUACAGAUUCAAGAAUAUGAGGAAACCCCAAACAGUAUAAAUUCAUGCUGGUAUACAUGAUAGUUAAAUUUGUAUAAAUAAAAGACAUUUGCUUGAGAGCAACUAGUAAAAACUGACAUCUUUUUCUAAAGGAGAAAAACAACUAAAUGAUAUAGCUGCUUUCUCAUCAGAAACCCUGAAAGCCAGGUGUACAGAGGGCCAGAUGCAUAGGUGGUAAAGGAAUUUACCAAGACAGGAGUGAGGAAAAAGGAGAUUCAUUAUACACUUUGAGAGAGGACAGCAGGUGAGUUCCCAGACGGGAUGUCAUACCCGCGGGAAAGUGCGGAGUCUUUAUAAGGAUCUCGAGGCCAGGGAGUCUAUAAAUCAAGAGCGAGGAACGUAGGAAAGAGUGCUUAGGAGGAUGGAAUUGGACCUGAUGGUCAUUGUCUUCUUUACACUUCUGAUAAAGUUUGGCAUCAGAGUCUUGCUUGUUAAGGAAGGAGUGCAAAUGGCUGUUGGCUGUGAAUUAAGGCAAGAGUUCAUCCUGAAGCAGAGUUUGUGACCCUGGUGUAAAGCAGAAUGGGGCUGAAACUCCUCUCUAUGGCUGACUAGCACUCUAUAGUAGUGUACUAAUAAAUACCUCACAUUCUGGAUUUGCCAGUGUACUUCUGUAAGUAAUUAAUUUGUGCUUCACUCUUCCAUCUUUCCUGUAAAAUGUAAAAGAGCUCCGUAUAUUCCACUGUAUUUAUAAAACAUACUAAAAUAAAGUUCUUUUUAAAAGUGUGAUGGUUAAUUUUAUGACAAAUUGAGUAGGGCACAGAGUGCUCAGAUACGUGAUUAAACAAUUUUUUUUGGUGUGUCUAAGAGUGUUUUGGGAUGAGAUUAACAUUUGCAUCUGUAGAUUGAGUAAAAUAGAUUGCCCUUCUUUUGUUUUUGGUACCAGGGAUCAAACUCGGGUCCUUGAGCUUGCGAGGCAGGCGGCAGAACCACUGAGCUAAAUCCCCGGUGGCCCUGCACUUCUUGAUGUAGGGGGCUCUCACCCAAUCUUUUGAAAGCCUAAAUAGAACAAAAGGCCGGAUAAGGGAGAACUUCCUCUCUCUGCCUUUCUUUCAACUGGAACUUUGAUACUCUCUUUUCAUACUUGAGGUUGUACUGGCUGUUACAUCAUUGGCUGUCCUGUUUUUUAGGCCUUCGGACCCAGACUGGAACUAUGUAUACUUUGUAUCCUGCAGUUUUGAGGACUGUAUAUCUUGGAACUAAUCAGUCUCUAUAAUUGUGUGAGCCAACCCCUUGAAAUGAAUGUCUGUGUCUCUGUCUCUCUUCAUACACAAAUACACACUUAUUGGUUCUGUUUCUCCAGAGAAUCUUAGUAUGAGAAGUUAUUUUUUUAUUAAUUUAUUAAGUAGUCUGCCAUUUUUGAUAUUAUGACACUUAAUCAUUUCUGCCUUCCUUAACCUUUUGUGUACAUGCAGUAUAGAUUUUCAAUUGCUGUAACACUGGGCUCUGUUAUCUAUCUGUUAUGUUUUAUACAAUAAAAGUCAGUGAAUUUUGCCAAAUCAAAUAGUUACAUUUGUUUAAAAAAUAAGAAUAACUAAUAUUAAAUAUUUAUCCCACAGAAAACCUGGAAACUGAAGGUUAAAUUUCAGUCUAUAGUUUCCAAUCUCACUAUCCAUUGGUUCUUCAUUUUUUAAUACCUGCUUUUUGAGUUAAUUCAGUAUAUAAUUUGGUGAUAGUAUAAAGUAAUUCUUCAAGCUCUCACAUUCUUUAGAACUUGGCACUUACCUAAACAGUUUCUUUUAUUUAUUUAUUUAUUUGUAAAUUUUUUUAUUUAAAAAAAAAUUUUUUUUUUCUAAAUAGUUUCUUUCACACCAUUAUAGAGGUAUCUUUUCUGGUUCCAUUGUAUAAAUUAAUAGCAUCCAUCUUCCUCUUCAACACCAACAGCUACCUUGCUGGGAGCCUCUACUGCCCAAGGAACUAUCCAAGGAGCUUCUGCCUGAUUAUUAGAGGCUUUGAUGCUACUAGAAGGUGAAAGAAGCCUCGCUCACACUGCUAAGACUGAGAGAGAUGUUUCCAAAUUACAACUUAAAUUUUGUUUUUCUUAGAAACAGUGUUAAAAGAUAGGUACUUAGGUACAUCAUGUUCAAUGACUGCUUUAUGGUUUAGUCUGGGAACAUAAGACUGUUUAAAGCACUUCUAUUACAAGUUCUACACACCUCCUCCAUUGUGCCAUGGUAAUGGGAUCUUACAGAUGUUAGGCAAGUGCUUGACUACUAAGCUAUACCCUGAGCCCAAAACCUCUUUGAAAAUCUUGAAAAUUAAGUUUAGGGUUUCUUAUAUAUAGUCUGAUGUAUCAAAGAAUGGGGCACAGUUCACCUCAUCAACAAGGAAUAUUUGAUUGCUGACAUUGUUUAGACUAAUGUCACAUGGAAUUUUUAAAAACCAGACCUAUUUUCAGUCUGCUUUAUUCUUGCUUUUUUUGUUUUUUUGUUUUGUUUUGUUGUUUUUGUAGUGCAGGCUAGCUUUGAACUCACCAUGUAGCCCAGACUGGCUUCAAACUCAUGAUGAUCUUCCUGCCUCAGCCUCCCAAGUGGUGGGAUUACAGGCAUGCACCACCACACCCAACUCUUGCUUUUAAAUUUUCUUGCAGAUAAUGCCCCUCUGGCUGCCUGUGCCCAGAGCUGAUGCUUCUCCUUGGCUUUCCAUCCCAUUACUUAGCACACUGGUGCUUCUAUAUGGAUCUGAAGUUAGGAAAUAGAAAUUCGAGUUACAUCAUGAAACAAGGAGGAACACAGAAGGAAACAAGCCAGGACAUAAAUCUUUGCUCUCCAUUUUACCAACACAGUUAUCUGGGACUAAUAACACUCUCUCUGAGCCUUGAUUUUCUCAUCACUAAGAUACUUCAAUUGUCUUUUUAUGAGGAUCAAAUAGUGUAACUUAAAGCACUUAGCACUUAGCAUAUACUCUUAGUCAAAAUUAAUUCUCUCCUGUAAGAAAGAAGUUUCCAGUUGCCUAGGAUUUUCUUUUUCCUUUUUUUUUGGUACCAGGGAUCGAACUCAGGUCCUUGUGCUUGCACAGCAGGCAAUGAAACCGCUGAGCUAAACCCCUGGCCCUAAAAGCACUUUGGUUUUUUUUUUUCGUUUUUUUUUUUGGUACCAGGGAUUGAACUCAGGUCCUUGCACUUGCGCAGCAGGCAGUGAAACCACUGAGCUAAAUCCCCGGCUGCCUAGGAUUUUUAACUGUAUUUGUGAUGUCUAGGGAGUUUCUGAUCUUGUCCAGCAUGCACUGCGCUCCCUGAGCUCUGAGGAUGUUUCCAGGUGCCAAGAGCAACGGUGCAGACGGGGGCCUGCAGGAGGCUCUGAUUUGGAAGUGAGCAGCUGAGGAAGUGAAGAUUCUGCCUGGAAACUGACUUGCUGAUAAGGUAUCUGACUCCUCCUGCAGGAGGAGCCUUGCUGGGGGGACACACAGCUGUUGCAGCUCAGGUUUGGUAGGACAGUUGGAAGUAGAGACAGUGACUUCUCACUGGGCAGGUUCUGCAGUAGUGUUAAGCUUUGCUCUUGGAGGCGUGGUUCCAUGCUUAUCCCCUGACCUCCCAGGGGCUCCCUGAGUUCUUCCAUUUUCUUUUAAUAAAUUUAAUUUUUGCUCACUGAUCCAGAGCCAGGUCCUGGUAUGUAUUGUUACCUACAACAGGCUAUACUAAAUAUUUAUGUCCAUUACUUAUUUUCUCUACAGUUUUUGCAAUUUUCUAGAGUACCCUAUUGUAUUUUCUUUAUUCCUGACCACAUUGUCUGUGUGUAAGGAAGGAUUUACUUGUUUUCCAACAACUGUGCCAUUUCUUUUCCAUUCUUAUUAUUUUAGAUGAGUGAAUAGUACAAGACUGAAGACAAGGGGUAAAAUAGAUAUCACUGAUUUUCUUAGUUGAUCUACUAAUAAAACUAUUUAAUAUUUAAUCAUCAAAAAUGUCAUCAGAAACAAAGGUACAUAAUUCAGGAAAACAAACCCUAAAAUGUUUGAUGAGCUAUUAUUGAGUAGACACUGAGAAAUGUAGCUUUUACAGAAAUUUUAUAUAUGUGUAUAUAUAUAUAAUAUUAGGACAUAUACACAUAUACAAAUAUAAUAUUAAGACACUUUUCCAAGUUUCUCUUUCUCUGUUACUAUGGGAAAUAGUUACAGAGACCUUAAAUUCUCACGUUUCCUAUCAAACCUUUUCAGAACUACGUUAAAACAAUAUUGAAUCCCUGGAUAUGGAAUGUGCACAGCAGUUCCAUGUGAGUUCAUCAAAUCAAGUCAAAGGCAGAAUCCAAACAAAUCAGGCAUUCCAUGGUGGGAAGCUGCACAGCUGCCCUGGCUCUCAGUGGCAGCAGCUGAGUGGCAGCACUCACUGAGUGGGGACAAAUGAAGCCAGGGGAGAUUGCUGUUGUAAAGUGAAGCACAUCACCACAUUUCCAUCUACCCCGUUAUACUUCAUGAAUCCCCCAGGAGCCAGAAAAGCACAGUGAAGUCUUUAAAAGCAAAUCCAGAUGUCAGCCAUCACCACCGCACUGCUUUAAUUAUCAAAAAACAAAGAAAUAACUCCUUAGGUACAUUCUAAGUAGGUGUUCUUUCAGCAAAAACAGAAUAGCUGAAUAAAUAGCUGUGGCAUUAUACGCGCUUCAAGACCGAGGAUGCAACUAUAACCUAAAUAACAGGCUACCCAGCGGGGCUCUGAGAAUUCACAGCCAUUAGAAUGUGCAAGGAUUAAUCUCUACAGUGUGAUGAGUGAUUAAUAUUAAUCACUCCAUUUUACAGAUGGGAAAACUGAGUGCCUUGUAUCACAAUCAUUUCUAAGCCAAGGUCUGUCAGUGCUCAGCAAGUUCCCUGUAUAAUGAAUUAAUUUUAAAGGAUCCUUUAAGAAUACCAUAUUAGAUGGAUUUAACUUUCUCUAAUAACUGCUAAGUUUGUACAGCAUAAUCAGGAACACAGAUAUAAAGCAGAUUCCCAGAGGUGGAACUGUAAUGUUUAUGAGAUCAAAGUGGUGGGAGUUGCCAGAAGAGGCAUUAAAGAAUGCCAGGUAAAGCUGGGCAUGGUAGCAUCUGCCUAUAAUCUCAGCUACCAAGGAGGCUGAGGCAGGAGGGGCAGCCUGACAACUUAGUGAGAACCUAUGUUGAAAAAGAAAAAGGCCGAAGACAUAGCUCAAUGGCAGAGCACUUUUGUAGCAUGUACAGGUCCUUGGGUUCAAUCCCAGGUACCAAAAAAAAAAAUAAGGUAGUCAAAGUGGAUCUUAAAAUGUGAGUUACCUGGUAAACAAACAGAAAGGACAACACGGCACAAGGGAGCCAGCACAAAUGCAGGCAGGGUGCAAAGCAUGGCACUGGUAGAAAAUGCCUGCAAAUUGAUGUGUCAACGAAACAAAGGGCUUGGUUGAUAGGUGCAGCAUGGCUAGGAAUGGCGCUGGUUUCAACAAAAGCCCAAGGAAAAGAAAAUGAGAUCCUUAGCUAAGGGUGCAGUCAUGGGGAGAGAAGGGAGGAUUAACUAGAGAAGUGUUCAGAAUUAAACAUCUCAGGACUUCUUUAUUUGUGUUUUGCAGCCCUGGGAAUCAAACCCAUGCUAGGCAAGUGUUGCACACUCUCGGGAUUUUGUGCCCCAAGCUACAGUAUCAGCAAACUAAUGUCUUUGUAACUAAAAUUAGAAUGGAAGUCCCACCCUCCUCCAAGACAUUGUCCUAUCACGUCUCACAUCUCUUUUUAUCUGCUUAUUUAGAAUGUUUCCAUAAAACGCACAUUCUCAUAGUGUUCUGAUUACUACCUCCAGGACCUCCAGGCUGUAGGCCUCAGGAAGUCCUGCGCAAUUAUCUGGGAACUGCACAUAAAAUCCGUUGCAUUUCUGUGUGAAUUAUGCUUUGGGUGCAGGUAAAUGACUCCCUGCUUUACCCUGCCCAAUUUCCAGAUCCUUUUACCAUCAUCUCCAAAAUGUCCUCUAGAAUGUCUAACUCCAGUCAGCAAGCUGCCCUCAGACCUUAACCUGUGUUCUGAGUGGUUUUUGUAUAAACUAACAGCCGUCCGAGCUCUGAUGAGCUUACUUCUCAUGCAGCCCUCCUAGGUGGGAGCUGCUUUUUCCUCACACUCAGUACCACCGUGCUAAGAGGUGCACUGCAUUCCACUCUUCCUGUGUGUUCUCUGUCUUCAAAACUCACUGCACAUUCUCCCUUAAUGAAGGGACAAUGGUUGAUAUUUAACGUCCUCCCUUCCCUUUCAUCCACAGAAGACUAGAUUUUGGUUCACAGUUUUUUUACUCUGUCAUCCUUAGAAUUUUGUCAUUCAUGUGGGUAAUCCACUGUGCAUCUUCUUCUAGUUCCUUGAUCUCCUCACCACUGAUAUCUUUUCCUCCAUUCCACCCUAGGCAUGGUCCCAUAGCUAUUUCCUAAGUUUGUCAGAACCCAGGUUUGCACUCCUUUGGAAACUGGGCUGAAAUAUCUUACUUUAUGAUUCUUAUCCUUUCUUUUCUCUUUCUGUAGAACUCCCACAGCCACAGUUUGUUGAUCUGUGACUCAGUACCAUGACCUCGCUCAUUUUCAUUAUCAGCCAACUCUCUCUUCUUUCUGCUUUCCUCUCUUGCAAUUAUUAUGAUGACUCCUUUGAUAAUACCUGGUUCUGCUUCUUUAUUCAUUCUGCCUGACAGUAAAGACACUUAGCUAAUUGGAAAUUUUGGGAAAAUAUAUUGGGCGUGCUUAGCUCAGCUUUUCCUUUUCUUCUCGGUAAGAACACAUUUCUUCCAGGUACCCACAACCUCCAAAAGCCCCUGGUUGGAGAUCAUGAGGCUUUGGGGAACAUUCCAGAUCUGAACUGCAGCCUCAUGCACUCAAAAGGGGUCUUUUGGUGGGGUGGUUGGAUCACGGUGGAAGUGGAUUCAUCCUCUGGUAAGUUUAGGCUGGGUGAGCUGUUAAAAAGCCCAGUCUGGUUGGAGGCGGUCAUGGGAGAGUGGCCUGGAAGGGACUGCCUUCCCUGGCUGCUCCUUUUAUCUCUGGUUCCUAAUUGCCAUGAUGUGAGCAGUUUUCCUCCGCUGGGGCCCUUCCACCUUGCCCUUCCUGUAUAGGAGCUGGCCAACUAUGGAUUGAAACCUCUACAAACCGUGAUCCUGAAUAAACCUCUCCUUCUUUAAAUUGGGGGUGUUGGGUAUUGUGUCUCAGCGAUGAAGACACUAAGAUACAUGAAGGAUAUUGUUUGCAUUAUUCUGCAUUUGUUCUUUUCAGUCAAUAGUAUAUGUUAGAAUUUUUUCCCUGUCAUUGCAUGUGAGGUCACUUGUUCCUUUUAUAGGUACUCUGUAUUCCAUUAUGUCACUAAACCCCCAAAAAGUAUUUUCAGCCAUUUGAAAAUACAAAUUACACUACAGUUGAAAUUAUUGUAUCAACACCCACAUGCACCUAAGUAUAAUUAUGUUUCACAUUGCAUACAUAAUUGUAAAACUCAGUUGAAACAAUCAGUACUAUUUGGAAAUAUUAUUUUAUUUAAUAUUAUUUAAAAUUACUAGUGCCAUUUCCCACUUGGAGGUGAUUAUUUCAUACCUUCCCUCCUGCUCAGCUGAUGAUGUCUCUGGCACUAUUUGGUUUGUUGGUCCAUAGCCUAUCUCAUGCCAAGCAUAAUUUUAUAAACUUUGACUCUGUUUUUUUUUUUUUUUUUUCUCAUCACUUACAAAAGCUUCACUUGGGACAAAAGCAAUAGAUUUGAUCUCAGUUCUCAUUUAGUAUUCUAUGCUAGGGUAGAAUGAAUUACUACCCAGAUUUUGCAUGUGGUCAAGGAGGUAUGAAAGGAAAGCACCUUUCUGUAAGCCACAUGUUAGAGCGGUUGGAAAGGCAGGCGGCAACAGAGAGCUCCUGCCCUGUCCUCCACAGUCCGGCUCCGCACCAGGACCAGCACUUCUCAGAGGAGCACCAGGGCCCAGCCACACCAGGAGUCCACCGCAAAUGCAGUUAGAGUCAGGAGAGAGCCUAGGAAUCUCCUUUUAAAAUAAUUCCGAAGGUUACCCUUAAACCAACAUAGUUUUAAAACAAAGGAAAGGAAGCCACUUGUCCAGCUGUUGUGAAGUAACUGAUCCUCUAUGUCCACAUGCUGUCUGCUAUUGUGCUCCAUUCUACUCUUACAUACACUUGCUUAAAUUCUAUAAAAAUCAUUGGGAAAGGAAAAAACAUGAGAAAAGGAAACAAAGGAAACAAAACAAAGUCUUUGUAAAUAGGGAGGGGUGGAGGCGGUGAAGGGAGGGCAGAGGAAUGGGGAAAAAUAAGAACCAGGAUACAUCAUUCACAGGUACAAAUUCCCAAUGAUGAGCAUCAUCAUACUGUAUACAUAAAACAUACCAAUAACUUAAUGAAUAAAAAAUCAUUGCGAGAGGCAUUAUUAUCCAUUUAUAGCAGAGAAAUUGAGGUCUGAGCCAGGACUGUUCCAAGGUCACACGGCUAGUGACAGAAGAUGUGGUUGGAAAGAGUUCGAGUCGGAUCUCUCAGCCUGGAUCCUAAGAACCCCGGCAGGGCACAUGGACUAAGUGUUAGUGUGAACCGUGAUUGGCUAUGAAUGUUACUGUAAGAUGGGGUUACAUUAAUCUCACAGUGCACUGCAAACUAGAAAAGAGAUAAACUGAUUCAUACAAGUGUAUCUGACAAAAUUUUAAAGGUACAUUUUACUAAAGCAUUUUAUUUAAAGAUGCUUAUGAAUUGUUAUUUAAUAUAUUCCUUACCGGUCUUUCUAUAAGUUAAUUUCUAUGUAGUUUUUUAGGGUUUUUUUGAGACAGGGACUCCCUAUGUAGUUCAGGCUGGCCAUGAACUCAGGGUGAUCUUCCUGAUUCAGAUCUCUGAGUGCUAGAAUCAUAGCCGUGUGCCACCAUGCCUGGCUGGUGGUUUAUAUAGUAUUGCAGUUAAUCAUAUACACUAACAUUUUGUGUCUCCUGGAUUAAAGAAAGAUAAUGGUAAUGUCACAACAAUGCUGUCAGAUGGAAUCACAUUUCCUGGAAGAGCUACCUGAGUAGUUCUUAUGAGAUGUUUGUCUUGUGCUGUUUGAUUGUGAAGUUUAUUAAAUAUUUUCAUACUUUGGAUAUGCUAUAUAUAUAUACAAUUUAUAGAUUUUUUUCUGUAAAUAUAUUAGAAAAUAUUCUAAAAAUGUAUUCC